UAGAACUUCUUAUUUUGCCUUUCCCCUAUAUCUGCCUACUUCUUUUUCUCUUUCUAAACCUACUGUAUAUAUACAACUAAUCUGGAGAUGUCCAUAUCCUUGUUCAGUAAGGCAACCUUACUCUCUAGAAUCAAAUUACAGGACAACCCAAAAGCAAAUUUCCUCAUUCUAGCCCUCGUGCUAAACACUAACUCUGGAGCAUAUCAAGAUAAUUAAUGGAAUUUCAAAGCAUACUCUUUGACCG
RNAcentral lists this long non-coding RNA (244 nucleotides) under Capsicum annuum. Its description in RNAcentral is "long non-coding RNA (CANN_LNC005173)". The record is from RNAcentral. Lineage: Eukaryota; Viridiplantae; Streptophyta; Magnoliopsida; Solanales; Solanaceae.